Molecule: ribosomal RNA, 467 nt
Filed under: uncultured bacterium
Lineage: Bacteria
Description: partial 16S ribosomal RNA
Rfam family: Bacterial small subunit ribosomal RNA
Source: RNAcentral
GACGAACGCUGGCGGCGUGCUUAACACAUGCAAGUCGAACGGAAAGGCCCUGCUUUUGUGGGGUGCUCGAGUGGCGAACGGGUGAGUAACACGUGAGUAACCUGCCCUUGACUUUGGGAUAACUUCAGGAAACUGGGGCUAAUACCGGAUAGGAGCUCCUGCUGCAUGGUGGGGGUUGGAAAGUUUCGGCGGUUGGGGUUGGACUCGCGGCUUAUCAGCUUGUUGGUGGGGUAGUGGCGUACCAAGGCUUUGACGGGUAGCCGGCCUGGGAGGGUGACCGGCCACAUGGGGCCUCGGAUACGGCCCAGACUCCUACGGGCGGCAGCGGUGGGGACUUUUCCACAAUGGGCGGAAGCCUGAUGCAGCAUCGCCGCGUGCGGGAUGACGGCUUUCGGGUUGUAACCCGCUUUCGCCUGUGUCGAAGCGUGAGUGCGGUUAAUGGUAAAGAAGCACCGGCUAACUACGUG